UUGUAGGCUGAUUUGUCAGGAGUUGAAGCUGAUUCUUGAGAGUUUUAAUCUGAAGUCUGGCAUUGGUGAAUUUAGAUCAGUUCCAUUGACAGAGAGCGUCGGAGACAGCACGUAGCUUUUGGGGAAAAGUCACUACUCCAAGUUGAUGAGUAUUCCAAGAAGCUUCAAUAGUUGAUCGACACUCUACAUCUUGUAACCAGUAGGCUUCAAAAUAGAAGGAUCGGUGCCGUUUAAGUCGAUGUGUUGCUACUGUGUUCAAAAGGAGAGGGCUAUGAUCAGAGCCAAGAGCUGGAAGAGCGAACACUUCAGCAAGGGGAUAGGUGAAGGCACAUCCUUUGUUGCCAAGGUCCAUAAGGGAGCAAUCAUUAAGGACUUCGCGGAAAGAAGUGAUGCGAUGAGGCUCAGCUGGUCGCUUCCCAACUUUCUCCCAUGGAUACAAAACUUCAUUGAAGUCUCCUGCACAUAGCCAAGGUGAUACGCAUUGUGAUUCCUACUUCCAGAUCGGUGCAUUUGAAAUCAAGCAUUGCUGUAGAGUGAUGAGCUACAUUCAAAGUUACUCGGUCAGUCCAAAAAAGUGCUAAACCUCCUGCCAAUCCAACUGGAUUUUCUAGAAAAACAUCUGAGAAUCUGAGUUUCCGUUGUAAGUUAAGUAGCAUUGUUUCCUGGUUCUUUGUUUCCAUUAAAAACAAAAUGUCGGGCUUUUCUUGGGUCACUAAGACCUUUAGUGCUUGAACUGUCAGGGGAUUGCCCAAACCCUGACAGUUCCAACAUACUAACUUCAUUGUUCACCUGGUGGCUUUUUAGGGCCAGCCACCAGGGCCCAACAUGCAGAGGCAUCAACUUCAUGGACUGGGGUCUCUUGUAACAGUGAUUCAUCAAGUCCCUGUUGAAACUGAGAGCGAACAUCAGAGGAACUACACUUUCGGAGAUGUGAUGUGCUUUUGAUAGGAAGGAAGCCCGUGCUGUGGGAAAUUGGUUGUCGAAGAUUCCUCAAUCA
This is a long non-coding RNA of Eucalyptus grandis, 997 nucleotides long. RefSeq lists it as uncharacterized. The transcript has 4 exons. Lineage: Eukaryota; Viridiplantae; Streptophyta; Magnoliopsida; Myrtales; Myrtaceae. The record is from RefSeq and is a predicted model, not a curated record.